AAUAUUACAAGUAGUAACGACCAUAAGACAUGGUUUUUCUAGGUUAAAAUUGAAGCUCAUGUCAAAGAAAGGAUUGAGUGUUUGAGAUAUUGAUGUCAAAAUCUUCAACAAAUAUGAUAACUCUGGACUCUGUGAUAAAAUCUAGUAGCUAUGUUGGAAUCUACAUCUGUUUUGUCUUUUCCAUACAGAUGAUGUACUUAGACAGUGACUGUACGGUGCCAUCUGCUACCUAGGAAUUAAUAUAAUCCCUAUCCAUGAAAAACAAUGAAAUGCUGCUGAAUCCUCUGGAGA
RNAcentral lists this unclassified non-coding RNA (291 nucleotides) under Hevea brasiliensis (rubber tree). The record is from RNAcentral. Lineage: Eukaryota; Viridiplantae; Streptophyta; Magnoliopsida; Malpighiales; Euphorbiaceae.